Molecule: ribosomal RNA, 458 nt
Filed under: uncultured bacterium
Lineage: Bacteria
Description: partial 16S ribosomal RNA
Source: RNAcentral
AACGCACGCUAGGGUUACCGCGGCUGCUGGCACGGAGUUAGCCGGUGCUUCUUCUGCGAGUAACGUCACAGAUGUAAGGUAUUAACUUACACCCUUUCCUCCUCGCUGAAAGUGCUUUACAACCCGAAGGCCUUCUUCACACACGCGGCAUGGCUGCAUCAGGGUUUCCCCCAUUGUGCAAUAUUCCCCACUGCUGCCUCCCGUAGGAGUCUGGGCCGUGUCUCAGUCCCAGUGUGGCUGAUCAUCCUCUCAGACCAGCUAGGGAUCGUCGCCUAGGUGAGCCUUUACCUCACCUACUAGCUAAUCCCACCUGGGCUUAUCCAUCAGCGCAAGGCCCGAAGGUCCCCCUGCUUUCCCCCGGUAGGGCGUAUGCGGUAUUAGCAGUCGUUUCCAACUGUUACUCCCCACAAAUGGGCAAAUUCCCAGGCAUUACUCACCCGUCCGCCGCUCGUCAUCUU